AUGUCUGGCGCCCUGUCGCGACAGUACAACUGCGGCGCUCCUUCCUCGCCGGGGGCCCUUCCUCGCCCAGCACCGGGAGCUGCCGCCCGCCGGUUCCCAGCCCCGGCCGCUCCGUGCCGACGGGGGGGGUCUUGGCAGCGACCCCUGGCCGCCUGCUGGGCUGGGCCGGGCCGGGCGGGCCCGCCCCCGGGCUAUUUAGUGCUCGGCACGGCCAGCCGCGCUCCGCCACCGGCGGGGCUGCACGGCUCGGCACGGCUCGGCUCGGGACGGGACAGCUCAGCUCGGGACGGGACGGGAGCGGGCUGCCAGCGCCCUCGAGCGGCACUGGGGUCGAGGAGGGGCAGCCAAGCCCUUGGGCACGAGCCGAGCUCUUCCUCCGGGCGCCGGGCAGGGCUGCUGCCAGCUCCGUGCCGGUGGGGCGGGACGGGGCGCGCAGCCCUCGCCCUGCCCAGCCGAGGAACGCGGACACCGGCUCCGAGAGCUGGGAGAAGAGAGGCAGCAGCGGGAGCGGCCGGGACCGGGUCUGCUUGCUAUCCUCAGAAUAUCUCUAUCCAAGUUAGAGGAAAAAGGAUAAAUCUGACGUCACAGACCAGACCACAGGCAAGAGAUGACUCAACCAGGAAGAGGAGGAGAAAUGGAAUAGUUACAACACUGGACCAGUCCAGCUCUUCAGAAGUGAAGUUGAAGAGGUCUCGGAAACAGUCUGCUUGUAUUUGCCCUCCCUUUCACCACUAACCACCAACAUGCUAAAGGCCUGCACGGUUUUCCAGGGUGUCUGACUCCUGGGAUCAAUAUUCAAAUCACAGAUCUGACAACUGACAGCACUUUCCUCUCUGCUUUCUAAGUGGUAAAGCAGCUUCAGCACAGCUGCUGUUGCAUCCAUUUGCUACUUUAGUUGUGCCUUCGUCUGUUUCCCAAGACAUCAUUUACAUAAGGAGCCGCUGCAAACCCUCUGGCACCAAAUGCAUGUGAUACGAGGUUAUGCAAAACUGACAGCCAGAUGUGCAAAUCUUUUGUGGUAAGCAAGAGUCAUAACUUAGAUAUGGAAUGAAAGUAUUUAUGGCAGUCUAUCUUGCUGGCUCGUGUAAUGAAAGAUUCACUUUUAAUUGUCACUACCUUUAUUUAAAAAAAAAACAAAAAAGUCUGUAGGGAGAAUGGGACCAUUUGGGAAGACUGUUAAAGUUUCAGUGAAUCACAGAAUAUCCUAAAUUAGAAGGGACCCAUGGCAACCAUCAAGUCCAACUUCUGGCUCCACAGAGGACCACACAAGAAUGAAACCCUAUGUCCGAGAGCAUUGUCCAAAUGCUUCUUGAACUCUUGCAGGCUCAGUGCCGUGACCACUGUCUUGGGGAGCCUGCGCCAGUGCCCGACCACCCUCUCAGUGAGGAAUCUUUUCCUAAUACCCAACCUCAGUCUCCCCUAUUGCAGCCUCAUGCUGUUCCCUCAGGUCCAAAUUUGACUGGUCCUGACAUUAAGGCUAUAAAUUAUGCUGUCUCUUCAUUUCAGGCUAAAUACAAGAGAUAAAUUAAAUGUAGACACAGUCCAUUAUUUCCAUUAAUAGUGGCAGAUACUUUUCUGGAAAAAUCUGUCUCUUCCUGGGCUUAGGCACUAGGUCAUCUGGAUAGAAAAAUGCCGUGCAUCUUGCAGAUGAAAGGCCAGCAAUAACAAAAUAUGCUAGAGUAGCCAAAUAUGUAUUUGAAAUUAUAUAAUUUCAGAAUUAUAUAUUCUGAAGGAUUUUUUUCUCUCUAGGUAGAUCAGACAGGUCACUACAACCAAAAAGAAGUCUAAAGGGAAUUUCGUGCAUCUUGUAAACUCAACUACCAUUUUGUGCAGGUAUUUGAAAAAUACUAAACUGAGAACACCAUUGACUGCUGUAGCAAAGGAGGCUUUUUGUUCCAACAGGAAUCACUUGUAAGAAACUGAGAUUCAAAACCAUGAUAUAUGUUUUUAAACACUAAGAGGUGUAAGCCACUGGAGUAACUUAACAACAGUUGUAAUCAAUUAGUCAUCCUGCAAAGGCUUUAACAUUAAUAAGAACCAGACAUCUAAUAUGCGUAGAUGCAACAUGGACCAAGUGUAUCUACAAAACUCUAGGCCAUCUCAUGUAAUCACAACCAGAUAUUCUAAACUAGAGAAUUGCCAAAAAUGGAUUGAACAUGAAUCACUGCACUGCUUACUUCCUGCAAAAUACGGGGAGAAAAAGGUAAAAACACAGAACAAAAAGAGAUGAAACUACAGUGAUUUCAAGGUAACUCUUUGUAAUUGCCAGAGAAAGCAUAUAUAUACUGAGUAUGCAUAUAGGAUGACUUUACCUCAGAAAGCUUUAUCUAAUAGAGAAAUAAAAAAGUCUUUGAAAAGAAAGUUUAUCA
RNAcentral lists this long non-coding RNA (2369 nucleotides) under Anas platyrhynchos platyrhynchos (common mallard). Its description in RNAcentral is "lncRNA (ENSAPLG00000030091.1)". The record is from RNAcentral. Lineage: Eukaryota; Metazoa; Chordata; Aves; Anseriformes; Anatidae.